GAUGAAGAACGUAGCGAAAUGCGAUAAGUAAUGUGAAUUGCAGAAUUCAGUGAAUCAUCGAAUCUUUGAACGCAUCUUGCGCUCCUUGGUAUUCUGAGGAGCAUGCCUGUUUGAGUGUCAUUAAAUUCUCAACUACACUGACUUUGAAUUGGUGUGGCUUGGAUUUGGGGGGAAAAUUGUUGUGGGCUUUUUGUAUAGUCUGCUCCCCUGAAAUUGAUUAGCGGUACCUUUGUGGAACUGUCUACAGGUGUGAUAAUUAUCUACAUCUUAGACAUCUGCUGGAAUGCUGCUCUCUAAACCUUACUUGUAUUGACAAUCUUGACCUCAAAUCAGGUAGGAUUACCCGCUGAACUUAAGCAUAUCAAUAAGCGGAGGA
This 376-nucleotide unclassified non-coding RNA is filed under the name soil metagenome. RNAcentral's name for it is "partial contains 5.8S ribosomal RNA, internal transcribed spacer 2, and large subunit ribosomal RNA". The stretch from base 1 to 120 matches the Rfam family "5.8S ribosomal RNA", at positions 35 to 154 of the family's 154-position model. The record is from RNAcentral.